GUGGUAUCAAAACUCAUUCCAAAAAUAUCAUGGCAAUCCAGUUGGAAUUUCAUUAGCAGCCUUCACAGUUCUAUCUUGCAAGGUAGAAAACAGUUUUUUGAUGCACAAAGAGAGAACUCCAUGUAUGCUUUACUAAAGCUCAAACAUCAUCCUGUCUGUACAUCACAUGAACAUAAGGACAUCAAGAAAACCGUCAAAAAGGAAAAUGUACUUAAUAUUUUUAAUAUUCCAGAUGCUUCAGACAUUCUUUUAAUAUGUGGUUCUUAUUUGGAUUUCUGUCAGUAUGUUGUAAUGUGUAAUGUGAGUGAGAAUCAAUUAGAUGGAAACAAAAUAAAGCAUUUCAAAGAACGA
Molecule: long non-coding RNA, 351 nt
Organism: Exaiptasia diaphana
Lineage: Eukaryota; Metazoa; Cnidaria; Anthozoa; Actiniaria; Aiptasiidae
Exons: 3
Source: RefSeq, a predicted model, not a curated record